RNAcentral lists this ribosomal RNA (1346 nucleotides) under uncultured bacterium. RNAcentral describes it as "partial 16S ribosomal RNA". It matches the Rfam family "Bacterial small subunit ribosomal RNA", at positions 28 to 1381 of the family's 1533-position model. The record is from RNAcentral.
GACGAACGCUUCCGGCGUGCUUAACACAUGCAAGUCGAACGGAAAGGCCCUGCUUUUGUGGGGUGCUCGAGUGGCGAACGGGUGAGUAACACGUGAGUAACCUGCCCUUGACUUUGGGAUAACUUCAGGAAACUGGGGCUAAUACCGGAUAGGAGCUCCUGCUGCAUGGUGGGGGUUGGAAAGUUUCGGCGGUUGGGGAUGGACUCGCGGCUUAUCAGCUUGUUGGUGGGGUAGUGGCUUACCAAGGCUUUGACGGGUAGCCGGCCUGAGAGGGUGACCGGCCACAUUGGGACUGAGAUACGGCCCAGACUCCUACGGGAGGCAGCAGUGGGGAAUAUUGCACAAUGGGCGGAAGCCUGAUGCAGCAACGCCGCGUGCGGGAUGACGGCCUUCGGGUUGUAAACCGCUUUCGCCUGUGACGAAGCGUGAGUGACGGUAAUGGGUAAAGAAGCACCGGCUAACUACGUGCCAGCAGCCGCGGUGAUACGUAGGGUGCGAGCGUUGUCCGGAUUUAUUGGGCGUAAAGGGCUCGUAGGUGGUUGAUCGCGUCGGAAGUGUAAUCUUGGGGCUUAACCCUGAGCGUGCUUUCGAUACGGGUUGACUUGAGGAAGGUAGGGGAGAAUGGAAUUCCUGGUGGAGCGGUGGAAUGCGCAGAUAUCAGGAGGAACACCAGUGGCGAAGGCGGUUCUCUGGGCCUUUCCUGACGCUGAGGAGCGAAGGCGUGGGGAGCGAACAGGCUUAGAUACCCUGGUAGUCCACGCUGUAAACGGUGGGUACUAGGUGUGGGGUCCAUUCCACGGGUUCCGUGCCGUAGCUAACGCUUUAAGUACCCCGCCUGGGGAGUACGGCCGCAAGGCUAAAACUCAAAGGAAUUGACGGGGCCCCGCACAAGCGGCGGAGCAUGCGGAUUAAUUCGAUGCAACGCGUAGAACCUUACCUGGGUUUGACAUGGAUCGGGAGUGCUCAGAGAUGGGUGUGCCUCUUUUGGGGUCGGUUCACAGGUGGUGCAUGGCUGUCGUCAGCUCGUGUCGUGAGAUGUUGGGUUAAGUCCCGCAACGAGCGCAACCCUUGUUCACUGUUGCCAGCACGUUAUGGUGGGGACUCAGUGGAGACCGCCGGGGUCAACUCGGAGGAAGGUGGGGAUGACGUCAAGUCAUCAUGCCCCUUAUGUCCAGGGCUUCACGCAUGCUACAAUGGCUGGUACAGAGAGUGGCGAGCCUGUGAGGGUGAGCGAAUCUCGGAAAGCCGGUCUCAGUUCGGAUUGGGGUCUGCAACUCGACCUCAUGAAGUCGGAGUCGCUAGUAAUCGCAGAUCAGCAACGCUGCGGUGAAUACGUUCCCGGGGCU